This 1434-nucleotide ribosomal RNA is filed under the name uncultured organism. RNAcentral's name for it is "16S ribosomal RNA". It matches the Rfam family "Bacterial small subunit ribosomal RNA". The record is from RNAcentral.
CAGGCCUAACACAUGCAAGUCGAGGGGCAGCAUGGUCUUAGCUUGCUAAGGCCGAUGGCGACCGGCGCACGGGUGAGUAACACGUAUCCAACCUGCCGUCUACUCUUGGACAGCCUUCUGAAAGGAAGAUUAAUACAAGAUGGCAUCAUGAGUCCGCAUGUUCACAUGAUUAAAGGUAUUCCGGUAGACGAUGGGGAUGCGUUCCAUUAGAUAGUAGGCGGGGUAACGGCCCACCUAGUCUUCGAUGGAUAGGGGUUCUGAGAGGAAGGUCCCCCACAUUGGAACUGAGACACGGUCCAAACUCCUACGGGAGGCAGCAGUGAGGAAUAUUGGUCAAUGGGCGAGAGCCUGAACCAGCCAAGUAGCGUGAAGGAUGACUGCCCUAUGGGUUGUAAACUUCUUUUAUAAAGGAAUAAAGUCGGGUAUGGAUACCCGUUUGCAUGUACUUUAUGAAUAAGGAUCGGCUAACUCCGUGCCAGCAGCCGCGGUAAUACGGAGGAUCCGAGCGUUAUCCGGAUUUAUUGGGUUUAAAGGGAGCGUAGAUGGAUGUUUAAGUCAGUUGUGAAAGUUUGCGGCUCAACCGUAAAAUUGCAGUUGAUACUGGAUAUCUUGAGUGCAGUUGAGGCAGGCGGAAUUCGUGGUGUAGCGGUGAAAUGCUUAGAUAUCACGAAGAACUCCGAUUGCGAAGGCAGCCUGCUAAGCUGCAACUGACAUUGAGGCUCGAAAGUGUGGGUAUCAAACAGGAUUAGAUACCCUGGUAGUCCACACGGUAAACGAUGAAUACUCGCUGUUUGCGAUAUACUGCAAGCGGCCAAGCGAAAGCGUUAAGUAUUCCACCUGGGGAGUACGCCGGCAACGGUGAAACUCAAAGGAAUUGACGGGGGCCCGCACAAGCGGAGGAACAUGUGGUUUAAUUCGAUGAUACGCGAGGAACCUUACCCGGGCUUAAAUUGCAGAUGAAUUACGGUGAAAGCCGUAAGCCGCAAGGCAUCUGUGAAGGUGCUGCAUGGUUGUCGUCAGCUCGUGCCGUGAGGUGUCGGCUUAAGUGCCAUAACGAGCGCAACCCUUGUUGUCAGUUACUAACAGGUUCCGCUGAGGACUCUGACAAGACUGCCAUCGUAAGAUGUGAGGAAGGUGGGGAUGACGUCAAAUCAGCACGGCCCUUACGUCCGGGGCUACACACGUGUUACAAUGGGGGGUACAGAGGGCCGCUACCACGCGAGUGGAUGCCAAUCCCCAAAACCUCUCUCAGUUCGGACUGGAGUCUGCAACCCGACUCCACGAAGCUGGAUUCGCUAGUAAUCGCGCAUCAGCCACGGCGCGGUGAAUACGUUCCCGGGCCUUGUACACACCGCCCGUCAAGCCAUGGGAGCCGGGGGUACCUGAAGUGCGUAACCGCGAGGAGCGCCCUAGGGUAAAACUGGUGACUGGGGC